Molecule: ribosomal RNA, 366 nt
Filed under: Triticum aestivum (bread wheat)
Lineage: Eukaryota; Viridiplantae; Streptophyta; Magnoliopsida; Poales; Poaceae
Description: partial small subunit ribosomal RNA
Source: RNAcentral
AUGCCUAUCAUCAAGGAAUCGGAAAGGUACUCAGUCGUGCUUGAGGACAGGGAUGUUGCGUCGAGGGUCGCUGACGUCGCUAGUGGCGCGGACGAGGGAGUCGGAGGCAGCGAGGACGGUGGUGUCUCGCGGAGAGAGGGAGCGAGCUCCGUGGUCAAGCCAUCGCCGAGGUUGGAGGCCACCACCAUAGUUUCAUCGUCAACGAGCUAUGUUUAUCUCUCAAGGAGAAGCGAAGAAGGUCCCGAUGUGACGGAGGAGAAGAAGGCUGCCUUGCAGGAAAGCCGUGAAUGUGCCCGCGCUUUGUCCAUAUCCUUGCGGGAGUUGGGACAAGCAAUCCAGCCCAGGAUGGAGGUAAAAUUCUCUUGA